This 253-nucleotide ribosomal RNA is filed under the name uncultured bacterium. RNAcentral describes it as "partial 16S ribosomal RNA". It matches the Rfam family "Bacterial small subunit ribosomal RNA", at positions 524 to 776 of the family's 1533-position model. The record is from RNAcentral.
UACGUAGGAGGCGAGCGUUGUCCGGAGUUACUGGGCGUAAAGGGUGCGCAGGCGGUGGCCCGCGUGGGCGGUGAAAGCUCCUGGCUCAACUGGGAGAGGGCCGUCCAGACGGGGUCACUUGAGGGGCGGAGAGGGGCGUGGAAUUCCGGGUGGAGCGGUGAAAUGCGCAGAUAUCAGGAGGAACACCGAUGGCGAAGGCAGGUCUCUGGGCCACUACUGACGCUGAGAAGCGAAAGCAUGGGGAGCGAACAGG